This 91-nucleotide transfer RNA is filed under the name Alphaproteobacteria bacterium. RNAcentral's name for it is "tRNA-Ser". It matches the Rfam family "tRNA". Rfam says of the family: Transfer RNA (tRNA) molecules are approximately 80 nucleotides in length. Their secondary structure includes four short double-helical elements and three loops (D, anti-codon, and T loops). Further hydrogen bonds mediate the characteristic L-shaped molecular structure. tRNAs have two regions of fundamental functional importance: the anti-codon, which is responsible for specific mRNA codon recognition, and the 3' end, to which the tRNAs corresponding amino acid is attached (by aminoacyl-tRNA synthetases). tRNAs cope with the degeneracy of the genetic code in two manners: having more than one tRNA (with a specific anti-codon) for a particular amino acid; and 'wobble' base-pairing, i.e. permitting non-standard base-pairing at the 3rd anti-codon position. Lineage: Bacteria; Pseudomonadati; Pseudomonadota; Alphaproteobacteria. The record is from RNAcentral. RNAcentral also lists the same sequence under 2 other names.
GGAUGGGUGGCCGAGUGGUUGAAGGCACCGGUCUUGAAAACCGGCAAGGGUUCAUAGCCCUUCGUGGGUUCGAAUCCCACCCCAUCCGCCA